This 253-nucleotide long non-coding RNA is filed under the name Brassica napus (rape). RNAcentral's name for it is "long non-coding RNA (BNAP_LNC001892)". Lineage: Eukaryota; Viridiplantae; Streptophyta; Magnoliopsida; Brassicales; Brassicaceae. The record is from RNAcentral.
AACAACAAGACCACGGAAAAGCCCUGGCCCUAUCAAACCAAUCUUGCUUCCACCUUUCUCCAUACACAUACUAUUAUGAGCCGCACACAAACCACUCUUCCCUCUAGCAAACUUCUCACAUCCCCCACCUCCCCAAAACUUCUCACAUCCCCCCCCUCCCCAAGAACACCGUUUCCCACCACCAUGCGCCUUGCAAAAAUCAGUACUCCCUUGCGCACUCUUCUCACACCCAACACACUUACACCGUUUCCCA